AUUGAACGCUAGCGGGAUGCUUUACACAUGCAAGUCGAACGAGUGGCGGUCGGGUGAGUAAUAUAUCGGCACGUGCCCAAUAGCGGGGGAUAACUAAUCGAAAGAGUGGCUAAUACCGCAUACUAUUGUAGCGGCCGAUAUCGUAUUAGCUAGGUGGUGGGGUAAAGGCUCACCAAGGAAACGAUCCGUAGCUGGUGUGAGAGGACGACCGGCCACACUGGUACUGAGACACGGCCCAGACGCCUACGGGAGGCAGCAGUGGGGAAUGUUGGACAAUGGGGGAAAGCCUUAUCCAGCCAUCCCGCGUGUAUGAGAAGGCCUUCGGGUUGUAAAGUACUUUUGGCAGAGAAGCGGUAUCUGCAGAAUAAGCACCGGCUAACUACGUGCCAGCAGCCGCGGUAAUUC
This 405-nucleotide ribosomal RNA is filed under the name uncultured bacterium. RNAcentral's name for it is "partial 16S ribosomal RNA". It matches the Rfam family "Bacterial small subunit ribosomal RNA", at positions 30 to 526 of the family's 1533-position model. The record is from RNAcentral.